Pecten maximus is the source of this 569-nucleotide long non-coding RNA. RefSeq lists it as uncharacterized. NCBI's taxonomy places the organism in Eukaryota, Metazoa, Mollusca, Bivalvia, Pectinida, Pectinidae. The transcript is spliced from 3 exons. The record is from RefSeq and is a predicted model, not a curated record.
CCCAAAAUGCAUUGUGCAUAUGAAAUUUGAUCAAGAUCCCUUCAGUACUUUCUUAGAAAUAACAAAACAAGAAUUGUUUACGGAUGGACGGAUGGAAGAAGGGCGAAUUGAAUAGCCCACAGAGGGCUAAAAACCAGGAUUUUACUAUUCCUUUAAUAGUAACACCCUGAUUUUUUAUACAGUGUAUCUCAAUUUACUAUCUUUUCGCGCAGGUGCUUGGUCAUAGGUUGUCCCAUUCUGAUCUAUUAGAGUUACGUCCCUUUGUUUUACUUUGCCAGUGUGGUUGGACUAGGCCUACUAUACAACCAUAGCAUGCCUUUGUCUUUGAGAGCCGACGUGGACCCGACCUCAGAACCAGGCACUCGCUUUUACCCAAACCCCUGUGACAGAAUUGUAGCCAUAGACUCUAGAUCUACUUACUACAGCACGACUUACUGUGAAACAUAGACUUGUCUGGCAGAGUUACACCAAACAGACCUCUCACAGACCUUUUGAAGACAUUUUGGAAGAAUAGGACGGAUAACGGACAGACCACGGACGAAGGAAAAUAGCCCACCAUUUGGUGAUUA